GACGAACGCUGGCGGCGUGCCUAACACAUGCAAGUCGAACGGGGUCCAUGAGAGCUUGCUCUCGGACGACCUAGUGGCGAACGGGUGAGUAACACGUGAGAAACCUGCCUUGGAGUGGGGAAUAACUCGGGGAAACUCGAGCUAAUACCGCAUACCUUCCUUUGAUCGCAUGGUCAGCUGAAGAAAGAAUUUCGCUCCAAGAGGGUCUCGCGGCCUAUCAGUUUGUUGGUGGGGUAACGGCCUACCAAGACUACGACGGGUAGCUGGUUUGAGAGAACGAUCAGCCACACUGGAACUGAGACACGGUCCAGACUCCUACGGGAGGCAGCAGUGGGGAAUCUUGCGCAAUGGGCGAAAGCCUGACGCAGCAACGCCGCGUGCGGGAUGAAGGCCUUCGUGGUUGUAAACCGCUUUCAGCAGGGACGAAAAUGACGGUACCUGCAGAAGAAGCCCCGGCUAACUACGUGCCAGCAGCCGCCGUAACAC
RNAcentral lists this ribosomal RNA (486 nucleotides) under uncultured bacterium. RNAcentral describes it as "bacterial SSU rRNA". It matches the Rfam family "Bacterial small subunit ribosomal RNA", at positions 28 to 526 of the family's 1533-position model. The record is from RNAcentral.